Molecule: small nuclear RNA, 309 nt
Filed under: Cebus imitator (Panamanian white-faced capuchin)
Lineage: Eukaryota; Metazoa; Chordata; Mammalia; Primates; Cebidae
Description: 7SK RNA (ENSCCAG00000000871.1)
Rfam family: 7SK RNA
About the family: 7SK was discovered as an abundant small nuclear RNA in the mid-70s but a possible function has only recently been suggested. Two independent studies have found that 7SK RNA binds the CDK9/cyclin T complex (known as elongation factor P-TEFb). P-TEFb activates transcription by phosphorylating the C-terminal domain of RNA polymerase II.
Source: Rfam by way of RNAcentral
GGAUGUGAGGGCAGUCUGGUGGCUGCGACAUCUGUCACCCCCCUGGUCACCAGGGUCGAUUAGGCUGAUCUGGCUGGCCAGGCAGAUUUCCCCUUCCUGCCUCAAUACUCCACGUGCAGCUCUCCCAAGCUGAACCCUGGGUCGAAGAGGACUACUAUCCUGGAUAGAGGAGGACCAGUCUUUAGUCGAGGUUACAAGAGUAGCUGUGCUCCCUUUCUAGAACCUUCAAACAAACUCUCAAGAAUGAAACAAAACAAUAGAGCUAAAAGGCCAAUGGUGGAGGUAAAAAUUGAAUAUCAUCUGUAGAUU